This 253-nucleotide ribosomal RNA is filed under the name uncultured bacterium. RNAcentral's name for it is "partial 16S ribosomal RNA". It matches the Rfam family "Bacterial small subunit ribosomal RNA", at positions 524 to 776 of the family's 1533-position model. The record is from RNAcentral.
UACGUAGGGGGCAAGCGUUGUCCGGAAUCAUUGGGCGUAAAGCGCGUGUAGGCGGUUCGAUAAGUCUGCUGUGAAAGUCCAGGGCUCAACCCUGGGAUGCCGGUGGAUACUGUUGGGCUUGAGUACGGAAGAGGCGAGUGGAAUUCCUGGUGUAGCGGUGAAAUGCGCAGAUAUCAGGAGGAACACCAAUUGCGAAGGCAGCUCGCUGGGACGUUACUGACGCUGAGACGCGAAAGCGUGGGGAGCAAACAGG